Molecule: ribosomal RNA, 66 nt
Filed under: Vibrio vulnificus
Lineage: Bacteria; Pseudomonadati; Pseudomonadota; Gammaproteobacteria; Vibrionales; Vibrionaceae
Description: partial 16S ribosomal RNA
Source: RNAcentral
AAACUUUUAAUUGAAGAGUUUGAUCAUGGCUCAGAUUGAACGCUGGCGGCAGGCCUAACACAUCCA